GAGGUCAUAGCUCAAUGAUAGAGUUCUUGCCUAGCAUGCAGGAGGCCUUGAGUUCCAUCCUCGGAACUACA
RNAcentral lists this transfer RNA (71 nucleotides) under Marmota monax (woodchuck). Its description in RNAcentral is "tRNA.Ala". Lineage: Eukaryota; Metazoa; Chordata; Mammalia; Rodentia; Sciuridae. The record is from RNAcentral.